GACGAACGCUGGCGGCGUGCUUAACACAUGCAAGUCGACCGGAGUGGCGAACGGGUGAGUAACACGUGGGUGACCUGCCCUGCACUUCGGGAUAAGCCUGGGAAACUGGGGCUAAUAACGGAUAGUGUGGGAUGGGCCCGCGGCCUAUCAGCUUGUUGGGGGGGUAAUGGCCUACCAAGGCGGCGCCGGGUAGCCGGCCUGAGAGGGUGGACGGCCACAUGGUGACUGAGAGACGGCCCAGUGUCCUACGGUACUCAGCAGUGUGGAAUAGUGCUCCAUGGGCGGAAGCCGAAUGCAGCGACGCCGCGUGGGUGAUGCCGGCCUUCGUGUUGUAAACUCCUUUCACCAUCUACGCGGUAGAUGGAGAAGAAGCACCGGCUAACUACGUGCCAGCAGCCGCGGUAAUUC
RNAcentral lists this ribosomal RNA (408 nucleotides) under uncultured bacterium. Its description in RNAcentral is "partial 16S ribosomal RNA". It matches the Rfam family "Bacterial small subunit ribosomal RNA", at positions 28 to 526 of the family's 1533-position model. The record is from RNAcentral.